This is a long non-coding RNA of Micropterus salmoides (largemouth bass), 266 nucleotides long. RefSeq lists it as uncharacterized. The record is from RefSeq and is a predicted model, not a curated record. Lineage: Eukaryota; Metazoa; Chordata; Actinopteri; Centrarchiformes; Centrarchidae. The transcript is spliced from 3 exons.
UUGUUUCCUGCACGGGUCUGUUUUGAUCAUCUCGCCUUGUAAAUAAAUUUACCUACAGGUGACCAGAAUGUCAUGUCUGCUUUGGUUCAUCUUACAGAUGUGUUGGCCCAGCUCUGUCACCAAAACAAGGUUAUUUCUGUAUAGGAUUAGUAUCAAAGGGAAACACAAGGAUGUUUUCACUGGCUCUGUUCUCAUCAAUUAAAAGCAUCACCACACAUAUCUGUUUGACACACUGGAUGAUGGCUUCUGGGGCCCCUGAGAUUGUC